UUUAUUCGGAUUAGCGUUAGG
Molecule: non-coding RNA, 21 nt
Organism: Caenorhabditis elegans
Lineage: Eukaryota; Metazoa; Nematoda; Chromadorea; Rhabditida; Rhabditidae
Source: Ensembl